Molecule: long non-coding RNA, 711 nt
Organism: Neoarius graeffei (lesser salmon catfish)
Lineage: Eukaryota; Metazoa; Chordata; Actinopteri; Siluriformes; Ariidae
Exons: 4
Source: RefSeq, a predicted model, not a curated record
GGCAAAUAUAUGCCAUCUAAGAAUUAGCAAAGUAUGAUGCAACGUGUAUACACACUAGCGAUAUAUCCGUGAAUGGACUACCACCAUUUUACUGUCCUGUUUCCUAGUAGGUGCAGCAUGUACUUGAUUGUUGUGUUUGAGGACGACAACCAAACCGGCCUGGUGGCCAAGGAAUGGUUUUCAGGUGGCCUGGCAUGGUGGCCGCCAUAUAAGGACCAAUUUCAGAUCCUAAGAGCAGUUCAGAAGAGGGUCAUGCCAGACCCAGCAAAAGGGUGGCGGCAGUUCCGCGCUCGUGUACUGUAUGAAUCAGACUCCAUUCAAACUAUCCAGUCCAAGUGGGACAAAGCAUGCAUCACGUCAGACUUAAAUACAGAUGUUGAAAUGCAGGAGAAUCCAGUUAGAGAACGUAAAGGACCAAGACAGCUCAGAGAGUCAUCAUCAUCACUAUCUGAGGAGGAGGAUGAUCCUGAACACCUAAGAAGACCGCCCCCUUUACCUUUGAAUAUUGCAAGACCAAGAGAAGAGCCAACUUUACACUAAACUCUCAACAGUAACUUGCCUCAGUGAUAUGGAGGCUGAAGGACCACUGCACCACACUGAUCAACAGCAAACCUGCCUGAAUGAAAUCCCUCGGCAUCCCCAAACCUGCCUGACUGAAAUCCCCCGGCCAAACCCGCCUUCCUCAAACCUACCAGCUGAUUCCAGCUACCU